Molecule: long non-coding RNA, 1500 nt
Filed under: Macaca fascicularis (crab-eating macaque)
Lineage: Eukaryota; Metazoa; Chordata; Mammalia; Primates; Cercopithecidae
Description: lncRNA (ENSMFAG00000050410.1)
Source: RNAcentral
ACAGAGAGGGGUAAGAGUGGAAACAUCAGCAAAAACAAAUGUAUCUAAACCAUCUACAGUGCUGGGGGUGUCUUUGAGACCAUCUCUCAAAAGAUCAUUAAAUUCUACAGGGAAUUUUAGAAUGAGAAAAAACAAACACAAAUACUAAACAGUUACUGGUGAGUCCCUGAAAAGGUGGCAGGUUUCUGCUUUGUUACAGCAUUUUCAAAUAGAAUACCAAGAGUUAUGAACAACAGAAAUAGCUUCCUGCAAGUCAAGAAAAGCCACAGCGACCACCACUCGUGAAGGGAGCGAGGCUGGGGCUGAGGGAGGCCUGGGGAGGGCAGAUCAAAGCUAGUCCUCCAGGCGGCUUUCUGCACUCACAAGGCCACCCCGUUCACACCCGGGAAGUCCCCAAACCCCAUGGCUGCAGCCCCUCCCAGCCCACGGGCCCGGCACCUGAUGGCCCGGGCUAAAUCACCCUGAUGAAAACAUUUUCCUUUGUUGUUUUCUGUUUUCCAUUUUCCUUACUUACCAGUGGGGAUCCUUGGCCUAGAAAAUUUGGUUCAGUAAAAUUUAACAAGAAUCCCUACGCGUGCCCAGCCCUGUGCCAGAUUUGGGUGAAAGGAAAAGAAUCACCACAGAAAGAGGGUCAAAAGGCACAGCUCCCCUACAAUGCAGGGAUUGCUCUGGCAGGCUCCUGGCCCAGUGAAACCCUAUGGGCACCUCUGAGGCCAGAACAAAGGGUCCCUGCCUCACAGACGAGGAACGCAAGCUUGGAAAAAAGAAAUUUGUCCUGCAUCCCAAAUCUAGGUUUAGAGGAAUGAAGCAAUUGGCCCAAAUCCCAAAACUAGCCAGAACUUGAGUCCCAAUGAAGAUACACAGUCUUAACCUUUCUCUAGGAGGGAAAAAAUCCCCCUAAAAGCAAAACAAAGCAGAGCACAAAUCCGUGCAGACCUAAGUGAAGAGUACAGUGCUACCAUAAGAGCAGAGGGCUUCAUGUUCAAACGUUGAACAGUAAUUUUUAAGCACUGCUUUAGAGGAGGAGAGAAGGGCACCCCUUGGUCUUGAACUCUUGACCACCAAGCCUGGAAUUUGCAUAGAGGACAAGACCCCAGCCAGGCCCUGCCUGCCUCUGACUGGAACAUCCCAGGACCAGGAGACUUCACCAGGGCACCUCCAGCCACCGGAAAGGCAGUUCCAUUUCACCUCCCAUUUCAUCCUCAUUUUACAGACGGGCAGCAAGAGGCACAGAGAGCCAAGCAGCUCCUAUAACAGAGGAAGUUACCAUGGUGUAAGUGUGUCGGGGUUGGGUCCUGCCGGUGGGUUCGUGGCCUCGCUGACUUCAAGAAUGGAGCCACAGCGUGGUGGCAGGUGCCUAUAAUCCCAGCUACUCCGGAGACUGAGGCUGGAGAACUGCUUUAACCCGAGAGGCGGAGGUUGCAGUGAGCCGAGGUCGCGCCCACUGCACUCAAGACUGGGUGCCAGAGCGAGACUUCACCUCAAAAAAAAAAAAAAAAA